UCAGACGUGAGCUUUUCCGAUGAAAAACACCCUAGCAUUCACCCUGGUAACCGUCUAGCUACAGAUCAGAACAUAUUAGUAACUG
Molecule: long non-coding RNA, 85 nt
Organism: Sinocyclocheilus anshuiensis
Lineage: Eukaryota; Metazoa; Chordata; Actinopteri; Cypriniformes; Cyprinidae
Exons: 3
Source: RefSeq, a predicted model, not a curated record